RNAcentral lists this ribosomal RNA (116 nucleotides) under Botrytis cinerea B05.10. Lineage: Eukaryota; Fungi; Ascomycota; Leotiomycetes; Helotiales; Sclerotiniaceae. The record is from RNAcentral.
ACGACCAUAGACUGAGGAGAAUUGGGCAUCCCGUCCGCUCUGCCAUACACAAGCCUCAGAUCGGUAGAUUAGUAGUUGGGUGGGUGACCACCAGCGAAUCCCUACUGUUGUAUGUA